Molecule: ribosomal RNA, 253 nt
Filed under: uncultured bacterium
Lineage: Bacteria
Description: partial 16S ribosomal RNA
Rfam family: Bacterial small subunit ribosomal RNA
Source: RNAcentral
UACGUAGGGUGCGAGCGUUAUUCGGAAUUACUGGGCGUAAAGCGUGCGCAGGCGGUGAUGUAAGACAGGUGUGAAAUCCCCGGGCUUAACCUGGGAACUGCAUUUGUGACUGCAUCGCUGGAGUGCGGCAGAGGGGGAUGGAAUUCCGCGUGUAGCAGUGAAAUGCGUAGAUAUGCGGAGGAACACCGAUGGCGAAGGCAAUCCCCUGGGCCUGCACUGACGCUCAUGCACGAAAGCGUGGGGAGCAAACAGG